ACCUUGAGCGGGAAGCAGGGCGGCUGCUGAACGCAGCUGGUCUCGCAGUUGACGCCAGUGACGAAGGAGGCCCGGGCGGCCGGCUCAGGGGUGAAGUCGAGGUCGUGGUCCAACAGCUGGCCCCAUUGCAUGAACAUGAGUGAGCGCUCCUGGUCCGGAGUCAGCUGAUCAGUGGGGAAGCGCACGAUCUCGUUGGAGACCGCGCGAGCCUGCGUCACCAGAGCCACCGGGAAGCCGUUGCGCUUGACCCCGGGCGUCCAGCCGUAGGGAAGAGAGAAGCCGUCCUCAUACUCCGCCGGCAGCCAGCGCACAAAGGCACGGUUGGAGGCCCCCAGCGUGGGGCUGCGUCUG
Molecule: long non-coding RNA, 351 nt
Filed under: Homo sapiens (human)
Lineage: Eukaryota; Metazoa; Chordata; Mammalia; Primates; Hominidae
Description: long non-coding RNA NONHSAT175429
Source: RNAcentral